CCUAUGCAGGUAAUCAUAGCCAUAGACAUAACAACAACAGCUGCUUCAUAAUCACACAUCACCAUUUCUAGCUCCUUUAUUUAAAUAGGUGAAGAAUAUUUGAGUGGAAACACUGCAUGUCGAUGGUAUUUUAACCCCGCAAUUCCAGAGGCUGAAGACUUCUACAACGCCCUGCACAAUCAACGUCUGUCAAUCAGACGUGUCACUGUUCCUGCAGAACAAACAGCACCACUGCAAACAGCACUUUCCCUCGAAGACAAGUGUCUCAGCGACUUGGAGAAAAUGGACCCAUACGACUUCCCGGAUGGUGGAUGCCGAUGUACUGUUACUAUAACCCGUGUACUGCUAACCACCCCAUGGUGGUUCCCAUCAUGCAAUAGAUGCAGCAGAAGUUGCACACCAGAUGGUGAUGGCUAUAAGUGUAACACAUGCUCCUGCACAGGCUACCGGUUCAAGUAAAAACUACUUUCUCCUUCCUUACCAUACAACUGCAGCUACACUGACUAAUACCCCAUACAAAUUCACUUACACAGAUACAAAUUGUGCUUCAUCGGAAGUGAUGGAACUGCCGAAGCUGAAAUGAUAGCUUUUGGCGAUGUUGGUCGCCGUAUUGUGGGCAAGCCUGUCCAACAAGUCUUGCGGACAUCAAGAUUUGCGAAUGACACUCCACCAGAUAUCGCAGCCAUUGUAUCCUUAAAAUUUGUUUUUGCAAUCACUUUAACAGAACAAAGCUACUACAACCCUCAAAAAACAUAUCAAGUCAACUCUGUGAUUACUUCCUAUGGAAGACAGCACGCACUUCCACAUACAAGAGAUGAGCAGCAUAAACAACCAGAAACUUCCCUCACACCAGUUCAUGCACUCACAUACCCAACAUCUUCAACCAGCCGUGCAACAUCCCGCACAGUGACCUCUCCUAUAGAUCCUUAUGCCACUACACCCAAUCCUAGCAUACCAUCUGGAUCCAAAAACAUCACUCCAUCAUCAAAACCAGAAUUUCAAAAAGCGGCUACCAAAAACAUGCCAGCAGAUAUUGUAAGACUGCUCUCCCCCUUGUAGCCUAUUGAAUAGCACAUAAACACAACCAGCACCUUUAUACUGUGACUGCAUACCAAUAUAUAUUGAAUUUAUAUUGCAGACCCCUCCACCUUCACUGGAGCAUGAUGAAACACCGUUGAAGAAAACUGAACUCCCGCAUGAUGUUGCUUCAUCAAAACAGCCCACUGCUCAAAAGAGAUUAUUCCAGGAUAUUAUAGAUACUGCAAAGG
Molecule: long non-coding RNA, 1268 nt
Organism: Phragmites australis (common reed)
Lineage: Eukaryota; Viridiplantae; Streptophyta; Magnoliopsida; Poales; Poaceae
Exons: 4
Source: RefSeq, a predicted model, not a curated record